UAAACUAGGAUUAGAUACCCUAUUAUUUUAAAUGUAAAUUUUAUGUACUAAAUUAGUAUCAGUUAUGUUCUUGAAAAUUAAAAAAUUUGGCGGUGUUUUAGUCUUUUCAGAGGAAUCUGCCCCGUAAUUGAUAGUCCACGAUAAAUUUUACUUUAUUUAUUAGUUUACAUAUCGUCGUAGUUUAAAUAUUUUAAUAGAAUUUUAAUAUUUGGGAUUUUUAAUUAAAAAAUAAAUCAGAUCAAGGUGUAGUUUAUAGUAAAGAAGAGGUGGGUUACCUUAAAUAUAUUUAAGGAUAUUUUUUUUAAAAAAAUUUUGAAUAUGGAUUUGAUAGUAAUUUUAAAUAUUUUUUUAAAAUGAUUAUAGCUCUAAAAUAUGCACACAUCGCCCGUCGCUCUUAA
RNAcentral lists this ribosomal RNA (398 nucleotides) under Bruchidius mulunguensis. RNAcentral describes it as "partial 12S ribosomal RNA". Lineage: Eukaryota; Metazoa; Arthropoda; Insecta; Coleoptera; Chrysomelidae. The record is from RNAcentral.